Molecule: long non-coding RNA, 5893 nt
Organism: Catharus ustulatus (Swainson's thrush)
Lineage: Eukaryota; Metazoa; Chordata; Aves; Passeriformes; Turdidae
Exons: 3
Source: RefSeq, a predicted model, not a curated record
GCCCGAGCAGCCCUGGGAGCCCUCGCAGGCAUUUCCUUAGGGCUUUCCGCUUCCUAUUUUGUCUCCGCUCAAAGGUUUUGUUCCUUGCAGCAGGCGGGAGAGCUGAAGCCAGCUGCCUGCCUUCUCGCAGGGGAGGUUUCUUCCCGGCGCAGAUGGAAGGAAGGUAUUCCCGGUGAGGCAUUCCCGGGGCCGGCGGUGACAGUGAGGUCACGAGGAGAGCGAGUCUCUGAUGCCACAAGCAGCCCUGGGAUACCUGUGGGAAAUCAGCUUCCUCCUGAAGACACCAUGGAUAUCCUGUUUACUUACAUCUGUACCAACUCUCUACUCUGCAUGAAUACACAGAGCAAAGAAACUGGCAGUUUUGGAGUGUAGCUCGUUUGACUUCCUGAAUCACAGAAGAUGAUGAGUUGGAAGGGACCCACAAGGAUCAUCAAGCUCAUCUCCUGGCCCUGCACAGGAUCAUCCCCAGAAGUCACACCAUGUGUCCAAACCUUUUGAACUCUGCCAGGCUGGUGCUGGGGCCACUUCCCUGGGAAGCCUGUUCCAGUGCCCAGCCACCCUCUGGGUGAAGAACCUUUUCCUAAUAUCCAAUCUAAACCUCCCAUGACAAAAAUUCAGGCCAUUCCUUUGGACUCUGUCACUGAUCACAACAAAGAAAAGAGCAGAGUCUGCCCCCCUUUUCCCCCCAUGAGGGGGUCUGGAGAGAACUUUGCUGUCAGCCUCCACUCUGCCCUAGACAUUUUCUUGACUUGGGGUAGUGUUUCCUCAGUACCAUGAUCCCAAGCUACAGGGAGACUGAGGAUUUCAACUUACUAGUUUUGGAAGACACAGUUCCAAGUUGAUCCCCUGUGCCCUAUUCCAGCUCCUGUCCCCUCUCAAUUGCUCCCAGGUCCUUCAGGUGCAACAGAACUGGGUGCUGGCUUUAAAGCAUCCACUCCUGCAUUUGCAGCAUGGCCUUCAUGCUAUGCAUAUUCAUUUAAUAAUAGCCAAGGCCCAGUGUAUUCCCAGCCAAGCUUGACCUAAAUUCAACAGCAAGGUUUAUUCUACAGCUUGAAUUGCAGGGGAUAGGAGAGUCUGCAGCAGCUGGAGGAAAAAAACAAACCUUGAAAGGGAGAAACUUGGAUUGAAUCAAAUCUGAAUCAAAUCACAGCCAUCUCCUCUGUGUUUCUUUCAUUGGAAGUUCAAAUUCCGUUUAUUGUUCCCAGCUCCAUCAUUUUUAGUUUCCAGUGUGCUGCAGGAUUUGCGAUCUCAAAUAGCUGUAAUUGUUAUGCAGGGAAAUUUUGACUGCUGUGGUUGCUAGAAAUUGAGCAAGGGCUGUGGUGUAGUUUGGAUGAUGGUUUAUCAGGGUGCAGAGUUAGUUCUCUGAAAGGUUACCUAGCAGUAAGGUUACUGCCUCUGUGAGGCAUUACUGGUUCAUUCUUUCAUCACCUGUGGAAGGUAUUCACUGGGCUGAUUUAUUUUGUGCUACUGCUGUGACUUUCAGGCAUAAAGGGCAUAAAGAGACAGCUUCAACAAACUCUGUUCUCAGGGAAAAAGAAAAUAUUCAGGGCUUAAUAAUGACGAGAUAAACAGGUCUUACUCACGUGCUGUUAACCACCGUAAACCCAGGAGGGUUAGAGCAAUGAUAUGCUUAAUCCUGGCCUGCUUGGCCAACUCUUAACUUUGUUAGUCAGCUCCCUGGAGGAGGAACAAAGCUGCUCACGUAUGUAUAGCUCUAAGCUAUUGGCUGUGCUCCAGAAAACGGUCCUCUCUGCUGCUGGAGAAGGAUGCUCACCAAAGCUUUGCUUGUGCUCAUUCAAACACAACCCCUUAAGAAGUUAAUGCUCAACAGAUCCCACCUGAAAUGUGCAGAGAAAGGAAAAUGCCACAAUUCUAUGAAGAGUAGCACAGGCGCACUGUUGGCUUCAAGGGUGGGUAGAAGCCAGUUCUGGGAGCUUUCUGUUAAUGCCUUGUGCUCCUGAAGAAGCUCAGGCUCUGGCACCCUCUUCAGCAAGGCUUUGGGUCCACCUCCACCAUACCAACCAGAUCAGGAGUGCUGGAAAAGACUGGGAACAGAGCUGGAUGGAGCAGGAUGAGGAGGGAGAUGCUUCGGCUGGCCCUCCCCAAAAACUUAUCAGAACAAACCAAACACCUGAGGUAGCCAGGCAGGAGUUUUCAGAGCCCAGGUAGGGGCAGACAUUCUGCCCAACUGGCCAGCAAAGCCUAUGCCACAACAGAUCCACCUCUUACCUGAAAAGCCAACUUCAGCCCAACUGCAGAGAACAAAGUCAGAGCAAAGCAAAAGCAGAGUCACCCUUUGGUUUCUCCACCUGACCUAGCCUUAAAAACUCAAUUUGAAGGUGGCAUUAAGGAAGUAAGACAUCGUUUAUCAGGACUGACAGAUACAAUCUAUAAAUUAGCAUGCUCAGCCUGGGAAUCAGGAGGCAGAGAUAUCUAUCACUUCCUCCCCAGCAGGCUGAUACAGGCACACAAAUUUGGCCAGUUCCCCAGUGCAUAAUCCAGUCUCCAGCAGAUCUAACGACCCAGAGUGCUGGGGUGGGGAUAUUAGGUGGGAGAGACCUGGGGAAGAAUGGAGUUCCUGACUCCACUCCACCCUGUCCUCUGUGACCUGGGGACAGGUGGACUCCCAGCAAAAUGGGGUUCGUGUCUCAGUCCAAAGGCAUACUGCAUUUUUAAACAUGCUGCCAAGGCAUCUGAAGUAGGAUGAGUUGCUAAAUGGCUGCAGCAUUAGAGAAAAGCUGGCUAUUUUAAGAUAUUUCUACAUAGUUUGCAUCCAAAAGAAAGGAUAAUCUAUGGAAUUAUAUUUGCUUUUUAUGUAUAUAAACUACUGUCUCUGUGCUCAGUAAAUGUGGGGCUUUAGCCCAACCCUGGGAGGUUCUGGGUGGCUUUUGGUGAUGCCUAGAAUUACUUUGCUGUAAAAGACACACAAGCAAGGACAUGCACAACAUUGGCAUGAGGCACUCAUCUCACUGAAUCCCUUUUCUAUGUAAAAGCAGGGAAGUUGGCCCAAAUGCUGGAAAUAGGUUCAUUAGGACGCCCCAGCACAGCCUCACUCCCACCCCAGGUUCCUGGGUCUCUGAGUCAGUCCCUGUGGGCAGGAAUGGCUGCUGGGGUGGCUGAAAGGACCACUCCCUCCAAGGCACACGGAAACGAAAUUAUUAGGGAGCUCAGGUGGUGCAGCCAGGAAGACUUUAAAGGUCUCGUAAAUAAGAGCCCAUGUAGACAGCAGGUACUGUAGGGCUUUAUAGGCCUAUAAAACACCCUGAGCUGCCACAAAGGCUGGAAGGGUUGGGUAGGAAAUCUAAUUUCACAGGAUUUAAAGCAGGUGAGAGAGAUAUAAAUGUAUGUUUUUAAUAGUAAUUAAUGCUGCCAUUCAGAAGCACUUAAGCAGUGGGUUUGGAGAAUUUCCAAGGGCUUGCCUCAUAAAUCACAGCCCACUACCUGCCUGCCCUGCUCCUAUGGGGCUGGGCUACUGCUCCCUCACCUGACCUGGCCUUGGCAGUGCGGGCACUUCCAGCUCCAGGCAGAGAGCUCAGCCAUCCUGUUGAACCAGGGGUCGCCCUGGGAUGCUGUCCACCUUUCCUCAAGGUUAUCCCCUCUUCUUCAAAGACAGAGGGACAAAGGAGCAUCUUCUUCACAUUUUUUUGCUGUGGGCUGCUGGUUUUCACCCUGCCUUGUAGUGUCAUUUCUGCUGCACAGGCAGUCGGGUCCCAGCCAGCUCCUGCCUGGCAGGAGUGGAAAGCAGAGGCUGCUGCAGUCCACGGGGAUGAGGUGGAUACUGGGGGAGUGCCCAGGAAACAUUCAGGAGCUGGCAAUGUAUUUAACGCGUGAUGUUUUGUGUGUCAUACUGUGAUUUCUGAUUUGUCACCAGGACCUUUAAGGCUUGAUUCCCUACCGUUCUUGGGUGGUAACAAGGCCAGCAUGGGGAGCUGGAGAGGUGCCCCAUGCCUUAUCAUCCCCAUGCACCCCAGAAAGCAGUUCCAGAGCUCCCAGCCCUUGCUGCAUUGUGUGCACCCACUCCUGCCUCCCACGGCUUCAAGCAGGCGGCAAAGUAGGACGGCAUGACCAGGGUCCCCCUCCACCCCAGCCUCGCCCCCGUCCUUCCAUCUGCACCCCAGCCCAGUCCCAGGCUUGUCCUAAUCCCGCCUGGGAAGGCUCCAACCGUGUGCCAGCCCUGCCCUCUAGUGUCACUUCUGCCACAGCCACUCCUUGUAAUCCAGCACGUUCCUCCAGCACCGCUGGUACAGAUGUGCAGUCGGGAUUUCGGUGUGACUGUUUCAAACAGAGCUUGGCUCCCACGCCAGGGGAGCAGGAAAGGGGAAGGAUCCAGGCACAGAUAUUCCCAUUAUGAUGUUGUAAUUUGGGGUGGAAGGAGCUUGCUACUACCUUUACCUCCAGUCUCUGCCCAUGGUCAAAGCAGGUCCCCACAAUUUCAACAGUCCAGGCAAAAUUCUGAGGAAGCAAGGAGGGGAUAAGACAACCAGGAGAAACCUUCAUUAACUCUUUCUUAUGCACUUCUACUUAUGGAUAGUGUGACUAUCCCGAAUGGGGAUACAGCAUGCCCCAGAUGCACAGGGAGUCUGAGAUGAGGCUAAUUUUAUUAGCUGAUGGGACACCUGCACUGCUUCCAGAAAUAGCUCAGAUUUGCAAAGCUCAGGGCUGCUUUGAUGGGGUAGAGCCCUUGCAGAGGUCCUGUUGCCUCUCUACAGAGCUGAGUCAGCAUGACUGCUCUAGGCACCUGGCACCAGAUGUCCAGAGAUGGAAGAGCCCAGGCAGUUCUGGUUUUGAUCCAGCUUCAAAGCUAGUUGGGAUCCAGCUGGGAGUUAGCCCCUUCUGGGCUGAGCUCCAGCAGAUUCUGUGUGAGUGCCCCAUGUUUUAGGGUCCAGGAAGGUGUCUGAGGUGGGUGCAGCUGUAUCCAAGCACUUUCCAGCUAGUGUCAGCAGGCUGCUGGAGGACAGCAUGUGGGCGAGGCACCAAAGCAUUUUUGCAGAAGCCAUCUGGGCCAACAAAGCUGGCACAGAACCACAGCUAAAAAAUCCACUUAGACCAAAACUGUUCCAAUUCCGCAGUGACACCAGUCCUCCUCUGCACUGGACUCCCCUGGAGUUCCAUGUUUUUCCACAAUGAAACUGCAGCUACAUCUAUUAUCCUGCUACAGUAGACAGGAAGAGAAGGAAGGAGGGCUACAGCAGUAAAACUCUGCCAAGGCUAUUUCUCCUACGAACCAGGGGAGUCUGGAAAAAAGCUGCAUUAUGAUGGGAAACACCAGUGCUAGAAAUAUGUGUUGUUUGAGGACAAUACUGAGAGAUUACUCGAUUCUCUCCCCUGAUUUAUGUUUACUACCCUAGCAGAGAGAGACCUGAUUGAGAUAAUCUGAUCUGACACAUCAAUCUUAGACUUUGCAUUGGCCUUCUUCUCCUGUAUUGAUUAUCAGCAAAUACUAAAUAAUGGAAUGACAGCUGAGACCUGUUGUUAGCAGGUGAGAUCUGCAGUUCAAACUUGAAACCUUGAAAGCUCAAGCUAAUUUUGAUGAGAUACACAGCAAGCCAGAGGAAUCAUCAGUAGGUCCAGUAAAGUAAUACCCCUGUCACAAUAAAGUAAUACUCCUGUCACAGAUGAACCCUCCUGGUUGUUGGUGUCUGCUUGGACACCAUUGUGGCACCACGCCACCCGUACACAGUCAGAGCAUACUCACACACAUACGCAUCUGUACAAAUCUAAAGAUACUUACAUGCUUGUGUAUAUGUGUGUGUUGAUACAUGUAUGAAUCUAGACCGAUAUCUUGAUUUGUAAGCUCCACGCUUUAUAAAUGUCAACAUCAAGGAUGUUUGUAUUAACUAGAAAUCAGAUACCUAUACUUGUAAGGAACAAUAAAUUCUCAAAUACACUGGAA